RNAcentral lists this ribosomal RNA (373 nucleotides) under uncultured eukaryote. Its description in RNAcentral is "partial 18S ribosomal RNA". It matches the Rfam family "Eukaryotic small subunit ribosomal RNA", at positions 592 to 976 of the family's 1831-position model. The record is from RNAcentral.
CAAUAGCGGAUAUUAAAGUUGUUGCAGUUAAAAAGCUCGUAGUUGAAUUUUUGCUUGCCGCCGAUGUCGGAACUUCCGUACGUUCGGCGGCGUGCAUCCUUGGGUGGAACCUGUGUGGCAUUAGGUUGUCGUGCAGGGGAUGCUCAUCGUUUACUGUGAAAAAAUUAGAGUGUUCAAAGCAGGCUUACGCCGUUGAAUAUAUUAGCAUGGAAUAAUAAGAUAGGACCUUGGUACUAUUUUGUUGGUUUGCGCACCGAGGUAAUGAUUAACAGGGACAGUUGGGGGUAUUCGUAUUCCAUUGUCAGAGGUGAAAUUCUUGGAUUUCUGGAAGACGAACUACUGCGAAAGCAUUUACCAAGGAUGUUUNCAUUAA